This 318-nucleotide unclassified non-coding RNA is filed under the name Hevea brasiliensis (rubber tree). The record is from RNAcentral. Lineage: Eukaryota; Viridiplantae; Streptophyta; Magnoliopsida; Malpighiales; Euphorbiaceae.
GUGGAGUUUGGGAAAGUUUGCUUAAGAUCUGUGGCUCAUUAUUGGCGGCAUGGGAGGGUUAUAUAGCAAUGGAAAUUGAGUUGAACCAUAUAAAUAAUGCCAGAUCCAUAUAUAAGAGAUGUUACAGCAAAAGAUUUCCAGGGAGUGGUUCAGAGGAUAUUUGCCAUUCUUGGUUGCGUUUUGAGAGGGAAUAUGGUAGUCUCGAAGAUUUUGAUCAUGCUGCUCGAAAGGUUAACCCUCGUCUGGAAGAGUUAAAGUCCUAUAAGUUACAGAUGGAUGAGUCAGAAAAUCCUGUAAAGCAGACUGAUCAUGGUAAGC